CUCGCCGGCGCAGGAGAGCGCACGCGCCACGCGUGCCACCGAAGGCGCAAACUCCCAUGAACGCUCAGGUACCGUACUGCCCACCGUGG
This 89-nucleotide non-coding RNA is filed under the name Acidovorax sp. Its description in RNAcentral is "Glycine sequence". It matches the Rfam family "Glycine riboswitch aptamer". From Rfam's summary of the family: This family represents the bacterial glycine riboswitch. Glycine riboswitches usually consist of two metabolite-binding aptamers domains with similar structures in tandem. The record is from RNAcentral. Lineage: Bacteria; Pseudomonadati; Pseudomonadota; Betaproteobacteria; Burkholderiales; Comamonadaceae.